This 253-nucleotide ribosomal RNA is filed under the name uncultured bacterium. RNAcentral describes it as "partial 16S ribosomal RNA". It matches the Rfam family "Bacterial small subunit ribosomal RNA", at positions 524 to 776 of the family's 1533-position model. The record is from RNAcentral.
UACGGGGGGGGUAAGCGUUGUUCGGAAUUACUGGGCGUAAAGGGCUCGUAGGCGGCCAACUAAGUCAGACGUGAAAUCCCUCAGCUUAACUGGGGAACUGCGUCUAAUACUGGAUGGCUUGGAUUCGGGAGAGGAAUGCGGAAUUCCAGGUGUAGCGGUGAAAUGCGUAGAUAUCUGGAGGAACACCGGUGGCGAAGGCGGCAUUCUGGACCGACAUUGACGCUGAGGAGCGAAAGCCAGGGGAGCAAACGGG